UGGAGUCAAUAUCUUCAAGAAGCAUGGCUUGAAAGGAAUGAAAGACUCAGGGUAUUGGGGGUAGAGGCCUGUGUGCUUGCAGGGUAUGCUAUUUUCUAUUCCCCAAACCAAAGAGACCAGGAUGCCAGUUCAAAAAGAAUCGUCAGGACAGAGUGGAGAAUUGGAAUGAUCUUCACAGGUGAGUAUUCAUGUUGAGAGGGGAGUGUGGUAUUUUCAAAGCAGCAGUGGAGUUCCAGGAAGACCUCCUUCCUCUCCCUCUGGGCCCCACUCUGCCUCUGCGACCCAUGGCACAGGAAGAGCUAGGGUGGUGGUGGGGGACGUGGGUUGCUGAGAUCACGUCUCAAUGUAUGCUCCUUAGACUCCACAGACACUUUAAUGUAUUUUUCCUCCCUGGAUGAUCUGAUCUUCCUCAUGAGUGUUCACCCUUCAUACUGGUUAGUAACGGGAAAACCCCCACUGAAGUUGCUUCUGACUUGGAAAGUGUGGUUGCAUGCAACCAACUGAAUAUCCACAGAUACAAAUGCUCAGUCUAUUCUGGUGAACAUGCUCUCUACUUCUUUCAGCGAUGGACUGGGGUAUAUGUCACUUACAAGGCUCGCAGUCAUGUGGGAGAGGGAGUCUAUAACACGGCAUACGUUUGUUCCUCACAGAGGCCUCAGUGUUCCCUGAGGGAAAAAUGACUGUCCUCUCCUGGCUCCAGCUGUCGAUGCUGACCUGUACCGCCCAUGGGUGGGGGUGGUGAAACCUGCAUUUUUGUCUCCCUCCUCUUGCUGUGGACCCAGUGCUCCCUGGCUGACUGAGCCUCAGCCACCCUGCUGGCAUCAGCACACCCCUCUGAAUCUGGGUAUCAUCGUCCAGCCCAUCAACAGGCAGGGACGUCCACCCUCGGCCCCAAGGUCCCCUAGCCCAUUGCCUGCUUAGGCUUCAUCUGGGUUCAGUCCCUUUCCACAUUUCUUCCUAAAGUGAUGCAGAUCCCUCCCUUGGAUCUCACCUGCACAGCAGCAGGAACCAAGAUCAGCUCCAGAAAACAAAAUUCCUAAACUGCAGCCACCCUUCUGCCCAAAGACUCCGUUGGGUCACUGUACAGUGUGCCCCUGGAGUCCCAGGUGCGAAUAGGGUGGAAUCCUCCUGUCCCCGGUGUUCAUUUCUUGUCACACCUCCCUUGUCUGAGCUUGCUCACCUCUGCCUGCCACUGCCUCUGUGGGCCAUUCCCCCCUGUGACUUUGGGAUGCUCUUUCCUUUGUCUUGUCUUUCAUUUGACCCAAGACUUCCCAAACAAUAGGUGCAAGGCAUGGGAUCCCGAGCAGAGGUGAGGGGCUGGUGUAGUUAGGAGCACACAUGCAGAGGGGCAGCUGACUGCCAGGGCAGAAACACCGAGUUUGGGACUGGGAAACUUGAGAAAUCCCACGGGCUUGCUUCUUCCUUCUCCAAGAAUUAUUGCCGGGUGGGGCUGGUGGUCAUCAGGAUGGAGGAACGUUACUACUAUGUAGUGUAGUAGUGUAGGUAGGUGAGAGUGAAAAUGAACAGCAGUUCCUCUCUGGCCAGGGAUUUAAGAUAAAACACUUCUGUAAAGUUGUAAAGUUUGCUUCUCAACGCUCUGGUGCUCAGACAUAGGCAGGGCGUGGGUAGGCAGGAGGGUGCAAGGAGAACAAGAGGUGUGUUUGCCAGGGACAGAUUCCAGCCCUGGCUCAGUGGAUCCAGGAGGGGCCAGGCGAGUAGUGUUGAAGGACGUGUGGUAGGUGAGGUGGGGGUUUCCCAGAUUCUGGUAUCAGUGCAUUGGCACUAGAGCGAGGGAGCUGGAGGACAGGACAUCAUGUUGAGGGUGAUGAGAGGGAGGAAGGCUAGAAACAGGACACCAUGAGGGGCGCGGUCUUUCCUGAUGCCUGGGGCGGGACCAUGGGCAAGGGGAUGCUCGGGUGGGGAGGAGGGGAACAUCGAAGAGGACGGAGAGUCCCCGGGAUGACCGGGUGAGCCUCGUGGGCACUGAGGACGGAUCAGAAGAGUGAGGGCUGAGAGAACAGUCGCUGGAGAGGAGCCCGCGGUCCACGGGUGGUCUGGCCGGGCCCCUUCGAGAGGGUUCCUUCCUUUCUCUGGUUCUCAAGGGCAUCCUCCUCAACAUCCGCAUCCACGCUGUCCAGUCCUCUGCGCGAAAACAGAAGGGAUGGAUUUUCUUCCGGUCCUGUGGCGUUUUGAUUUCUGUGAUCUGCAGGUGGCAGUGUUGCUCCACGUAUCGACAUUCUGUUUCUCCCCCGCCCUUCGCCGUUGAAAAAAACGCGACAAAGCCUUUUGCCACAAGAAGUGUUGUAUAUUUUUCUCUGCUUGCACAGGUUGGCUGGUUCAAACUGCAUCUGAACCCUUCAGACAGCCCUUUGUGGAAACUUUGAACAAACUCAUUGACACUUAAAAUUACAAUAAAAUAAUAUAAGCUUAUAUAUUGAGCUCCCUUGUCUUCUGAUCCUAGAGGAAAUGCUGUAUUUAAAAAGAACUUUAUUAUGACAGUGAGUUUUGACUUGAAAAUGUUUAUGUGAAGUGGAAAUGAAAGUUGCUCAGUCCUAUCAGAUUCUUUAAGACCCCUUGGACUGUGUAGGCUGCCAGGCUCCUCUGCCCAUGGGAUUCUCCAUUCAAGAAUAUUGGAGUGGGUUGCCAUUUCCUUCUGCAGAGGAUCUUUCCAACCCAGGGACUGAACCUGGGCCUCCUGCAUUGCAGGCUGUCUCCUUACCAUCCGAGCCCCCUACAAUAAUAACAUGACAGGGACAAGUGCCAAGCUAAGAUCCUGCUGGGUAAUUGAUGCUGGACACCACCCAGGAGGCAGGUGGUGUUACUUCCCUCAUUUUUGCCUUUGAGAACUGUGGCACACAGAGGGAGAAUCAGCUGCCAAGGUUCCCUGGGUUCCUCCAGGAGUGUCCCUCCGUUCAGGUCUCAAGUCUGUCAGAUUGUAGUUUGCACACUGGUUUGCAGGAUGCUUUCCUAUCCCCAAGAGAAGAAUGAAAUAAAACAAUGGGAAUGAGGGUAAAGUGAAAGUGUUAGUCGCUCAGCACUGU
Bubalus bubalis (water buffalo) is the source of this 3041-nucleotide long non-coding RNA. RefSeq lists it as uncharacterized. Lineage: Eukaryota; Metazoa; Chordata; Mammalia; Artiodactyla; Bovidae. The record is from RefSeq and is a predicted model, not a curated record. The transcript is spliced from 2 exons.